Molecule: ribosomal RNA, 406 nt
Filed under: uncultured bacterium
Lineage: Bacteria
Also listed under: 1 other name
Description: bacterial SSU rRNA
Rfam family: Bacterial small subunit ribosomal RNA
Source: RNAcentral
UGGGGAAUAUUGCACAAUGGGCGCAAGCCUGAUGCAGCAACGCCGCGUGAGGGAAGACGGUUUUCGGAUUGUAAACCUCUGUCAUUAGUGACGAAGAAGUGACGGUAGCUAAUGAGGAAGCCACGGCUAACUACGUGCCAGCAGCCGCGGUAAUACGUAGGUGGCGAGCGUUAUCCGGAAUUACUGGGUGUAAAGGGAGCGCAGGCGGGAUAGCAAGUCAGCGGUGAAAUGCAUGGGCUUAACCCAUGAGCUGCCGUUGAAACUGUUAUUCUUGAGUGGAGUAGAGGCAGGCGGAAUUCCGAGUGUAGCGGUGAAAUGCGUAGAUAUUCGGAGGAACACCAGUGGCGAAGGCGGCCUGCUGGGCUCUAACUGACGCUGAGGCUCGAAAGUGUGGGGAGCAAACAGG